AAUCAACGCUGGCGGCGUGCCUAACACAUGCAAGUCGAACGCGAAAGCCCCUUCGGGGGUAAGUAGAGUGGCGUCCGGGUGAGUAACACGUAGGUAAUCUACCUUCGGGUGGGGAAGUAACCAGUCGAAAGAUUGGCUAAUACCGCAUAAUGCAGCGGCACCUAAUGGUGAUUAGUUGUUAAAGCGGGGGAGUCGUAAGACCUCGCGCCUGAAGAGGAGCCUGCGGCAGAUUAGCUAGUUGGGAGGU
Molecule: ribosomal RNA, 247 nt
Filed under: uncultured bacterium
Lineage: Bacteria
Description: partial 16S ribosomal RNA
Rfam family: Bacterial small subunit ribosomal RNA
Source: RNAcentral